GAAGAACGCAGCGAAAUGCGAUACGUAGUGUGAAUUGCAGAAUUCCGCGAAUCAUUGAGUUUUUGAACGCAAGUUGCGCCCGAGGCUCGUCCGAGGGCAUUUCCGUUAGAGCGUCACC
RNAcentral lists this ribosomal RNA (118 nucleotides) under Plagiomnium integrum. Its description in RNAcentral is "partial 5.8S ribosomal RNA". It matches the Rfam family "5.8S ribosomal RNA", at positions 38 to 154 of the family's 154-position model. From Rfam's summary of the family: 5.8S ribosomal RNA (5.8S rRNA) is a component of the large subunit of the eukaryotic ribosome. It is transcribed by RNA polymerase I as part of the 45S precursor that also contains 18S and 28S rRNA. Lineage: Eukaryota; Viridiplantae; Streptophyta; Bryopsida; Bryales; Mniaceae. RNAcentral also lists the same sequence under 1 other name. The record is from RNAcentral.